This 78-nucleotide microRNA precursor is filed under the name Oryza sativa Indica Group (long-grained rice). RNAcentral describes it as "MIR5148 microRNA precursor family". It matches the Rfam family "MIR5148 microRNA precursor family". The record is from Rfam by way of RNAcentral. Lineage: Eukaryota; Viridiplantae; Streptophyta; Magnoliopsida; Poales; Poaceae.
CACGAUAUGACGUUUCUACCCCUCACAAGUAAAAGUAUAAUGCAUAUCAAUGAGGGGUAAAAAUGUCAUAUCAUAUGU